Molecule: ribosomal RNA, 460 nt
Filed under: uncultured bacterium
Lineage: Bacteria
Description: partial 16S ribosomal RNA
Rfam family: Bacterial small subunit ribosomal RNA
Source: RNAcentral
CCUACGGGUGGCAGCAGUGAGGAAUAUUGGUCAAUGGACGAGAGUCUGAACCAGCCAAGUAGCGUGAAGGAUGACUGCCCUAUGGGUUGUAAACUUCUUCAACAAAGGAAUAAAACGAGGCACGUGUGCCUUUUUGCAUGUACUUUAUGCAUAAGGAUCGGCUAACUCCGUGCCGUCAGCCGCGGUCAUACGGAGGAUCCGAGCGUUGUCCGGAUGGAGUGGGUUUAGAGGGAGCGUAGACGGGGUGUUAAGUCAGUUGUGAAAGUUUGCGGCUCAACCGUAAAAUUGCAAUUGAUACUGGCAGGCGUGAGUACAGUUGAGGUAGGCGGAAUUCGUGGUGUAGCGGUGAAAUGCUUAGAUAGUACGAAGAACCCCGAUUGCGAAGGCAGCUUACUAAACUGUGACUGACAUUGAUGCUCGAAAGUGUGGGUAGCAAACAGGAUUAGAUACCCUUGUAGUC